This 329-nucleotide unclassified non-coding RNA is filed under the name soil metagenome. RNAcentral describes it as "partial contains 5.8S ribosomal RNA, internal transcribed spacer 2, and large subunit ribosomal RNA". The stretch from base 1 to 120 matches the Rfam family "5.8S ribosomal RNA", at positions 35 to 154 of the family's 154-position model. The record is from RNAcentral.
GAUGAAGAACGCAGUGAAAUGCGAUAAGUAAUGUGAAUUGCAGAAUUCAGUGAAUCAUCGAAUCUUUGAACGCACAUUGCGCCCCUUGGUAUUCCGAGGGGCAUGCCUGUUCGAGCGUCAUUAUAACCCCUCAAGCUCAGCUUGGUGUUGGGGCCUGCUGCACUGGCAGCCCUUAAAAUCAGUGGCGGCGCCAUCUGGCUCUAAGCGUAGUAAUUCUUCUCGCUAUGGAGUCCUGGUGGAUGCUUGCCAUCAACCCCCAAUUUUUCUAUGGUUGACCUCGGAUCAGGUAGGGAUACCCGCUGAACUUACGCAUAUCAAUAAGCGGAGGA